RNAcentral lists this ribosomal RNA (878 nucleotides) under uncultured bacterium. RNAcentral's name for it is "bacterial SSU rRNA". It matches the Rfam family "Bacterial small subunit ribosomal RNA", at positions 28 to 902 of the family's 1533-position model. The record is from RNAcentral.
GAUGAACGCUGGCGGCGUGCUUAACACAUGCAAGUCGAACGAAGCUCCUUUGCUUGAGAUUUCGGUCAAGAGGAAAGGAUGACUUAGUGGCGGACGGGUGAGUAAUGCGUGAGCAACCUGCCCUUCAGAGGGGGACAACAGUUGGAAACGACUGCUAAUACCGCAUAAUGUAUUCGGGAGGCAUCUUCUGAAUACCAAAGAUUUAUCGCUGAAGGAUGGGCUCACGUCUGAUUAGCUAGUUGGUAGGGUAACGGCCUACCAAGGCGACGAUCAGUAGCCGGACUGAGAGGUUGGCCGGCCACAUUGGGACUGAGAUACGGCCCAGACUCCUACGGGAGGCAGCAGUGGGGAAUAUUGGGCAAUGGGCGCAAGCCUGACCCAGCAACGCCGCGUGAAGGAAGAAGGCUUUCGGGUUGUAAACUUCUUUUGGCAGGGACGAAGAAAGUGACGGUACCUGCAGAAUAAGCUCCGGCUAACUACGUGCCAGCAGCCGCGGUAAUACGUAGGGAGCGAGCGUUAUCCGGAUUUACUGGGUGUAAAGGGCGCGUAGGCGGGAAUGCAAGUCAGAUGUGAAAUCUCCGGGCUCAACCCGGAAACUGCAUUUGAAACUGUAUUUCUUGAGUGAUGGAGAGGCAAGCGGAAUUCCUAGUGUAGCGGUGAAAUGCGUAGAUAUUAGGAGGAACACCAGUGGCGAACGCGGCUUGCUGGACAUUAACUGACGCUGAGGCGCGAAAGCGUGGGGAGCAAACAGGAUUAGAUACCCUGGUAGUCCACGCCGUAUACGAUGAAUACUAGGUGUGGGGGGACUGACCCCCUCCGUGCCGGAGUUAACACAAUAAGUAUUCCACCUGGGGAGUACGACCGCAAGGUUGAGACUC